This 31-nucleotide non-coding RNA is filed under the name Rattus norvegicus (Norway rat). Lineage: Eukaryota; Metazoa; Chordata; Mammalia; Rodentia; Muridae. The record is from RNAcentral.
UUUGCUUUUGAAAGAAUGUGUCAGUGUGCGU